CUCACCAUGGGAUGGAGCAGGAUCAUCCUCUUCCUCUUGUCAGUAACUACAGGUGUCCACUCCCAGGUUCAGCUGCAGCAGUCUGGAUCUGAGCUGGGGAAACCUUGGUCCUCAGUGAAGUUGUCCUGCAAGGCUUCCGGCUUCAACACUGUUGAUACCUAUAUGCACUGGGUGAAGCAGAGGCCUGGACAGGGCCUGGAGUGGAUUGGAGCUAUUAAUCCUGGAAGUGGUGGUACUAGCUACAAUCAGAAGUUCAAGGGCAAGGCCACACAGACUGCAGACAAAUCCUCCAGCACAGCCUACAUGGAGCUCAGCAGCCUGACAUCUGAGGACUCUGCGGUCUAUUACUGUGCGCGAAACACAGUGUUACAACCCACAUCCUGA
Molecule: non-coding RNA, 384 nt
Organism: Peromyscus californicus insignis
Lineage: Eukaryota; Metazoa; Chordata; Mammalia; Rodentia; Cricetidae
Source: the annotation of a RefSeq genome assembly